RNAcentral lists this ribosomal RNA (221 nucleotides) under uncultured bacterium. RNAcentral's name for it is "partial 16S ribosomal RNA". It matches the Rfam family "Bacterial small subunit ribosomal RNA", at positions 524 to 745 of the family's 1533-position model. The record is from RNAcentral.
UACGUAGGGUGCAAGCGUUAAUCGGAAUACUGGGCGUAAAGCGUGCGCAGGCGGUGAUGUAAGACAGAUGUGAAAUCCCCGGGCUCAACCUGGGAACUGCAUUUGUGACUGCAUCGCUGGAGUGCGGCAGAGGGGGAUGGAAUUCCGCGUGUAGCAGUGAAAUGCGUAGAUAUGCGGAGGAACACCGAUGGCGAAGGCAAUCCCCUGGGCCUGCACUGACG